GACGAACGCUGGCGGCGUGCUUAACACAUGCAAGUCGAACGGAAAGGCCUCUUUCGGGGGGUACUCGAGUGGCGAACGGGUGAGAACACGUGAGUAACCUGCCCUUGACUUUGGGAUAACUUCAGGAAACUGGGGCUAAUACCGGAUAGGAGCUCCUGCUGCAUGGUGGGGGUUGGAAAGUUUCGGCGGUUGGGGAUGGACUCGCGGCUUAUCAGCUUGUUGGUGGGGUAGUGGCUUACCAAGGCUUUGACGGGUAGCCGGCCUGAGAGGGUGACCGGCCACAUUGGGACUGAGAUACGGCCCAGACUCCUACGGGAGGCAGCAGUGGGGAAUAUUGCACAAUGGGUGGAAGCCUGAUGCAGCAACGCCGUGUGCGGGAUGACGGCCUUCGGGUUGUAAACCGCUUUCGCUCAUGACGAAGCUUUGUGUGACGGUAGUGGGUAAAGAAGCACCGGCUAACUACGUG
This 466-nucleotide ribosomal RNA is filed under the name uncultured bacterium. RNAcentral's name for it is "partial 16S ribosomal RNA". It matches the Rfam family "Bacterial small subunit ribosomal RNA", at positions 28 to 507 of the family's 1533-position model. The record is from RNAcentral.